This is an unclassified non-coding RNA of Fukomys damarensis (Damara mole-rat), 355 nucleotides long. Its record names the gene 7SK. It matches the Rfam family "7SK RNA". From Rfam's summary of the family: 7SK was discovered as an abundant small nuclear RNA in the mid-70s but a possible function has only recently been suggested. Two independent studies have found that 7SK RNA binds the CDK9/cyclin T complex (known as elongation factor P-TEFb). NCBI's taxonomy places the organism in Eukaryota, Metazoa, Chordata, Mammalia, Rodentia, Bathyergidae. The record is from Ensembl.
GCACGUGAAGGCGAUCUGGCUUCAACAUCUGUCACCCAUUGGUCGCCAGGUUGAUUCAGCUGAUCUGGCUGUCUAGGCGGGUGUCCCCUUCCUCCCUCCCAGCUCUAAGUGCGUCCCUCCCAAAGCUGUGAGAGGGUGAUCACCCGAUAGAGGGGGACCGUUUCCUCAGUCGAGGUGUGCAAGUAUCUGUUGUCCCCUGCUGGAACCUCCACCCAAGCUCUCAGAAUGAGAGAAAAUCUUCACCAGCCACUCUUCUGGCAGAGGACUAAUCUCUAGAAGAUGCAAAGAACUGAAAAACACCUGAAAACCAAAUAGCCCAAACAAUAAAUGGGCAAAUGAGUUGAACAAACACUUC